AUUGCCAUUGAUACUGUGAGUCUUGAGUAUGGUUGAGGUAGGGCGGAAUGUGCAGUGUAGCGGUGAAAUGCAUAGAUAUUGCACAGAACUCCGAUUGCGAAGGCAGCUUACUAAGCCAUCACUGACGCUGAGGCACGAAAGCGUGGGGAGCGAACAGGAUUAGAUACCCUGGUAGUACACGCCUGUAAACGAUGUUCACUCGCUGUUUGCGAUACACAGCAAGCGGCUGAGCGAAAGCAUUAAGUGAUCCACCUGGGGAGUACGGCCGCAAGGCUGAAACUCAAAGGAAUUGACGGGGGCCCGCACAAGCGGAGGAACAUGUGGUUUAAUUCGAUGAUACGCGAGGAACCUUACCUGGGCUUAAAUGUAGAGUGCAUUGGUGAGAAAUCAUCAUUUUCUUCGGAACUCUCUGCAAGGUGCUGCAUGGUUGUCGUCAGCUCGUGCCGUGAGGUGUCGGCUUAAGUGCCAUAACGAGCGCAACCCUUGUCAUUAGUUACCAUCAGGUCAAGCUGGGGACUCUAAUGAGACUGCCACCGUAAGGUGAGAGGAAGGGGGGGAUGACGUCAAAUCAGCACGGCCCUUAUGUCUUGGGCUACACACGUGCUACAAUGGUCGGUACAACGGGGAGCGAAGGAGUGAUCCGGAGCAAAUCCCAAUAAACCGAUCCCAGUUCGGAUUGCAGGCUGCAACUCGC
This 694-nucleotide ribosomal RNA is filed under the name uncultured bacterium. RNAcentral describes it as "bacterial SSU rRNA". It matches the Rfam family "Bacterial small subunit ribosomal RNA", at positions 620 to 1315 of the family's 1533-position model. The record is from RNAcentral.